CAAUAGCGUAUAUUAAAGUUGUUGCAGUUAAAAAGCUCGUAGUUGGAUUUCUGGAGGGAGCGUCGGCCCGUAUUUACGAGUGCGUGACGUCUCUGUCCAUCCUUGCGGGAAGGCACGGCAUUGAUUUGUUGUGUCGGAUCGCAUCAUUUACUGUGAAAAAAUUAGAGUGUUCAAAGCAGGCUUUCGCUUGAAUACAUUAGCAUGGAAUAAUAAGAUAGGACUUUGGUGCUAUUUUGUUGGUUGAGCCUAAAGUAAUGAUUAAUAGGGAUAGUUGGGGGCACCUGUAUUGCGUUGUCAGAGGUGAAAUUCUUGGAUUUACGCAAGACAAACAGCUGCGAAAGCGUCUGCCAAGGAUGCUUUCAUUAA
Molecule: ribosomal RNA, 366 nt
Filed under: uncultured eukaryote
Lineage: Eukaryota
Description: partial 18S ribosomal RNA
Rfam family: Eukaryotic small subunit ribosomal RNA
Source: RNAcentral